AACGAACGCUGGCGGCAGCCCUUACACAUGCAAGUCGAGCGCGCCUUCGGGUGAGCGGCGGACGGGUUAGUAACGCGUGGGAACGUGCCCUUCUCUACGGAAUAGCCUCUGGAAACGGAGAGUAAUACCGUAUACGCCCUUUGGGGGAAAGAUUUAUCGGAGAAGGAUCGGCCCGCGUUAGAUUAGGUAGUUGGUGGGGUAACGGCCUACCAAGCCUACGAUCUAUAGCUGGUUUUAGAGGAUGAUCAGCAACACUGGGACUGAGACACGGCCCAGACUCCUACGGGAGGCAGCAGUGGGGAAUCUUGGACAAUGGGGGCAACCCUGAUCCAGCCAUGCCGCGUGAGUGAAGAAGGCCCUAGGGUCGUAAAACUCUUUCGCCUGUGAUGAUAAUGACAGUAGCAGGUAAAGAAACCCCGGCUAACUCCGUG
This 431-nucleotide ribosomal RNA is filed under the name uncultured bacterium. RNAcentral's name for it is "bacterial SSU rRNA". It matches the Rfam family "Bacterial small subunit ribosomal RNA", at positions 29 to 507 of the family's 1533-position model. The record is from RNAcentral.